AAAUUGAAGAGUUUGAUCAUGGCUCAGAUUGAACGCUGGCGGCAGGCCUAACACAUGCAAGUCGAACGGUAACAGGAAACAGCUUGCUGUUUCGCUGACGAGUGGCGGACGGGUGAGUAAUGUCUGGGAAACUGCCUGAUGGAGGGGGAUAACUACUGGAAACGGUAGCUAAUACCGCAUAACGUCGCAAGACCAAAGAGGGGGACU
RNAcentral lists this ribosomal RNA (207 nucleotides) under Escherichia coli. RNAcentral's name for it is "partial 16S ribosomal RNA". It matches the Rfam family "Bacterial small subunit ribosomal RNA", at positions 1 to 215 of the family's 1533-position model. The record is from RNAcentral. Lineage: Bacteria; Pseudomonadati; Pseudomonadota; Gammaproteobacteria; Enterobacterales; Enterobacteriaceae.